UGCUUAUCAAUGAUGUUUCCAAAAUAAAUGUCUGAACAAAUGACAUCUAAUGAUUUAAUUUCGUACCUGAGAUAAGCG
This is a small nucleolar RNA of Hyla sarda, 78 nucleotides long. RefSeq annotates it as small nucleolar RNA SNORD72. NCBI's taxonomy places the organism in Eukaryota, Metazoa, Chordata, Amphibia, Anura, Hylidae. The transcript has a single exon. The record is from RefSeq and is a predicted model, not a curated record.